This 407-nucleotide ribosomal RNA is filed under the name uncultured bacterium. RNAcentral's name for it is "partial 16S ribosomal RNA". It matches the Rfam family "Bacterial small subunit ribosomal RNA", at positions 28 to 526 of the family's 1533-position model. The record is from RNAcentral.
GACGAACGCUGGCGGCGUGCCUAAUACAUGCAAGUAGGACGCAGUUGCGAACGUGUGAGUAACGCGUAGGUAACUACCUAUUAGAGGGGGCUAACUAUUGGAAACGAUAGCUAAUACCGCAUACUAGUAGAUGGACCUUCGUUGUAUUAGCUAGUAGGUCGGGUAAUGGCCUACCUAGGCAACGAUACAUAGCCGACCGGAGGGGGUGAUCGGCCACAACGGGACUGAGACAAGGCCCAGACUCCUACGGGAGGCAGCAGUAGGGAAACAUCGGCAAUGGGGGGAACGCUGAACGAGCAAAGCCGCGUGAGUGAAGAAGGGUUUUGGAGCGUAAAGCUCUUUUGUGAAGGAAGCGGUACUUAAACAGAAAGGGACGGCUAACUACGUGCCAGCAGCCGCGGUAAUAC